This 2157-nucleotide small RNA is filed under the name Pongo abelii (Sumatran orangutan). RNAcentral describes it as "retained intron". Lineage: Eukaryota; Metazoa; Chordata; Mammalia; Primates; Hominidae. The record is from RNAcentral.
UUGUUCUGUCUGCCAGAUGGUCAGUAUUCCGACAGUGUGGGACAAAGGAAAAACGGCAGCCUGGGCAACCCCGCCUCUAUAAGAACUAAAAAAUUAGCCAGGCGUGGUGGUGCGUGCCCCUGUAGUCCCAGCUACUCGGGAGGCUGAGGUGGGAGGCUCUCUUGAGCCCGGGAGGUCAAGGCUGCAGUGAGCCGUGAUCGUGCCACUGCACUCAGCCUGGGCAACAGAGUGAGACCCUGUCUCAAGAAAGAAAAACGAGAAAGAGAGAGUCCCUCCACUGUAAGGAGAUCGGGUUCGUUGCACUUUGGGGUGUUGGAGAAAAAUACUGAGUCAGCACCUGUGAGGGAUUGGUGGGAGCAGAUUUGGUGUUUUCCACCCCUUCAGAGGAUUCUGAGGUAACUCAGCUCUGUUGGCCUUGGCCUUGUAUGGGAGGAUUUCCCUUGUAUGGGGAGGAUUUUCCCUCUAGCUUGUGGGAAAGGAAUCAAGGACCAGAGACAGGCAGGGGAGAGUAUCACUGAGGGAUUUACGGCAGCAGCCUCUGCACGGCUUCCCCAGCUGCUUGCCGGACGCUGCUGGAGAAACAGCACUUCCCAAGAACAUCAUGGCCCCAGCAUCCUCUUGAACUUAGUAACAGUUGGCCCGACAGAUGAAGUGGAUAUCAUCCCUGCCUUAGAAGUUCUCUAGCCCCUUUCUUAGAGAUAAGCUGCUUUUUUGUUCCUAAAAGAAGUCAUGGCUGUUCAGGUGAGAAGAACGGUUUAGUCAGCAUCUAUGCAACACUGUAGAGAUGCUUGGUGAGAGGUGUUGGGACGCAGGAGAGUGGCAGACCGCAGGGCCCGAGGUAAGGUUUCUUGUCCAUCUCUGGAACUUUGGCUUUUUGCACCCUGUAAAGUCACGUCCCUUUUUUUCUGGUGCUUUGGUGGUGAUGUAGGGAGAGGUGAGGAUGAGAAGAGGGGCCACGUCCCAUGGAUUCCCAGAUCCAGACUCCUCUUCCCUGGGAAAACUGGAUUGGAGCUGGCCCCUCCUGUGCCUUCAGGGGCUGUGGAGGAGGAGGCCCCUGCAGGGAGCUGCCUGGGGUGAGCGCUGGGGCUUUUCCUGCAGUGCACUAGCAGCAAGUCAUAAUGGAAAGUGGCUGGAUUAAGGGCCAUCCAUAUCUGGCCCUUAGUUCUUCCUCUGCCAUCACCUGGCUCUGUGACCAUUUUCUUUCCAGUUGUAAUCAAUGGUUAAGAUUUAUCCUAGCAACAUUGUAGGGGUACACAGCCAAAUGAUUCAGGAAAAAAGAUGCAGGUUGAGUCUGGAGGAAUCCCUGUGCCAGCUUCCUCAUGCUCCCUCCCUCCCUCAGAAAUCACAUGGAACCCAUUCUCCCCUCAGCAGUGAAAAUGCAUUCAGCCUGUGUGCAGUGUUUCUGCCCAGGGAAGCCCAGUAGGGACUCCAUGCCCAGGGUUUUUACUGGGAGCUGGUUAUGUAGACACCACCUGCCUAGCACGCACCAAAAUUCCAGACUCUCAGGAAAACAGGUUCCUGUGCCACAUUAUUUGCACGGAGAGACUAUGUCCAGUGAACAGCUCCGAUCAGUAAACUGUUGACUUGUAACAUCCCGAGAGCCAAGUUCCCAGAUACCAGCCAAGGGCCAUCUGACCUGUUUUGAAUCUCAAUUUCCUGAUACAGAAAACAAAGGAUUGUCAGCUGACCUCUGUCCUGUGUGCCCAGUGGCCCCAGGUGACGUGUCUUCAAGAAGAGGCUGAGCUGUGGUGCUUGUAAGGUCUCAGCCUUAGAUCCAAGGACAGUCCAAGGAAGUCCUAAGACCGUGGAGUUGGUGACCUGGGAUCUGGGUUUGCUGGUAUUUCUCACCAUGAAUCUCUUGGUGGUGUUUGUGGGCACCAGAGGGGCAGAGAAUAGAGAGUGAGGCUACCACAUGAAGCGUCACCAGAGCUGCUCCCUGCUGCCUGCUCAGAGCACCCUGGAUCCACUGUUCAAUCUGCACAAGAUUCGGGGUCCAGACAUGGGAGACUUCAGCUGCCUCGGAGGACCGUGGACAGGGAAGGCCAGCCUCGCAUCCCUCUGUCCAUGCCUGGAAUGACUUAACCAAGAGUUUUAUUCUUGAAUUUGUAGCUGUUGUUCACUUUUUACCCACCCAUUCAAUAAACCUUACAGAAUUGC